Gossypium arboreum is the source of this 500-nucleotide long non-coding RNA. RefSeq lists it as uncharacterized. NCBI's taxonomy places the organism in Eukaryota, Viridiplantae, Streptophyta, Magnoliopsida, Malvales, Malvaceae. The transcript is spliced from 2 exons. The record is from RefSeq and is a predicted model, not a curated record.
GGUGAGGGAAAUUGAUAAAAGUAUGAAAGAAUUAGUGACUCAUUCAUCUUCUCCCUAGACGACAAACACAAAAGAAGAACGAAAAAAAUUUGCAUGGUUUUCUCCUUCCAUAGCCGUGGCUUCCACAAGAUUCGGCCGCUCCUACGGUACUUGGAGAAACGUUGGUCGAAUGUCUCCCAAGAUACACCAACACAAUGAUCAAGUAGUAGUACCUCUGCAACGAUCAACGAACAAACAUUGUUUUUUUUUCUAUCACCAGAACGUUGAAAAAAUAUGUAGAGGAAAAGAAGAAUUUUGAGAGAAAGAUAAAUUUGGUGUGAGAGAAUUUGAGUGUAGAAAAAAUUCUUCAGAAUUCAUAGCCUUUUAUAGGCAUUCAAUAUGAUGGAAUCUUGGAAAUUUCCACAAAAUCCGCCAUUAAAGGAGCCAAUAAAUCAAUUUGAUUAAAAUUAAAUCAAAUUGAUUGGAAUCAAAUAGAAUAAGAUAAAUGUCCUUUUGAAAUA